RNAcentral lists this ribosomal RNA (1866 nucleotides) under Staphylococcus epidermidis. RNAcentral's name for it is "partial 23S ribosomal RNA". It matches the Rfam family "Bacterial large subunit ribosomal RNA", at positions 164 to 2031 of the family's 2925-position model. Lineage: Bacteria; Bacillati; Bacillota; Bacilli; Caryophanales; Staphylococcaceae. The record is from RNAcentral.
AUAGCAUGUCAGAAGGCAGACCCGGAGAACUGAAACAUCUUAGUACCCGGAGGAAGAGAAAGAAAAAUCGAUUCCCUGAGUAGCGGCGAGCGAAACGGGAAGAGCCCAAACCAACAAGCUUGCUUGUUGGGGUUGUAGGACACUCUAUACGGAGUUACAAAAGAACAUGUUAGACGAAUCAUCUGGAAAGAUGAAUCAAAGAAGGUAAUAAUCCUGUAGUCGAAAACAUAUUCUCUCUUGAGUGGAUCCUGAGUACGACGGAGCACGUGAAAUUCCGUCGGAAUCUGGGAGGACCAUCUCCUAAGGCUAAAUACUCUCUAGUGACCGAUAGUGAACCAGUACCGUGAGGGAAAGGUGAAAAGUACCCCGGAAGGGGAGUGAAAGAGAACUUGAAACCGUGUGCUUACAAGUAGUCAGAGCCCGUUAAUGGGUGAUGGCGUGCCUUUUGUAGAAUGAACCGGCGAGUUACGAUCUGAUGCAAGGUUAAGCAGCAAAUGUGGAGCCGCAGCGAAAGCGAGUCUGAAUAGGGCGUUGAGUAUUUGGUCGUAGACCCGAAACCAGGUGAUCUACCCUUGGUCAGGUUGAAGUUCAGGUAACACUGAAUGGAGGACCGAACCGACUUACGUUGAAAAGUGAGCGGAUGAACUGAGGGUAGCGGAGAAAUUCCAAUCGAACUUGGAGAUAGCUGGUUCUCUCCGAAAUAGCUUUAGGGCUAGCCUCAAGUGAUGAUUAUUGGAGGUAGAGCACUGUUUGGACGAGGGGCCCCUCUCGGGUUACCGAAUUCAGACAAACUCCGAAUGCCAAUUAAUUUAACUUGGGAGUCAGAACAUGGGUGAUAAGGUCCGUGUUCGAAAGGGAAACAGCCCAGACCACCAGCUAAGGUCCCAAAAUAUAUGUUAAGUGGAAAAGGAUGUGGCGUUGCCCAGACAACUAGGAUGUUGGCUUAGAAGCAGCCAUCAUUUAAAGAGUGCGUAAUAGCUCACUAGUCGAGUGACACUGCGCCGAAAAUGUACCGGGGCUAAACAUAUUACCGAAGCUGUGGAUUGUCCUUUGGACAAUGGUAGGAGAGCGUUCUAAGGGCGUCGAAGCAUGAUCGCAAGGACAUGUGGAGCGCUUAGAAGUGAGAAUGCCGGUGUGAGUAGCGAAAGACGGGUGAGAAUCCCGUCCACCGAUUGACUAAGGUUUCCAGAGGAAGGCUCGUCCGCUCUGGGUUAGUCGGGUCCUAAGCUGAGGCCGACAGGCGUAGGCGAUGGAUAACAGGUUGAUAUUCCUGUACCACCUAGUAUCGUUUUAAUCGAUGGGGGGACGCAGUAGGAUAGGCGAAGCGUGCUGUUGGAGUGCACGUCCAAGCAGUAAGGCUGAGUGUUAGGCAAAUCCGGCACUCAUAAGGCUGAGCUGUGAUGGGGAGAGGAAAUUGUUUCCUCGAGUCGUUGAUUUCACACUGCCGAGAAAAGCCUCUAGAUAGAUAACAGGUGCCCGUACCGCAAACCGACACAGGUAGUCAAGAUGAGAAUUCUAAGGUGAGCGAGCGAACUCUCGUUAAGGAACUCGGCAAAAUGACCCCGUAACUUCGGGAGAAGGGGUGCUCUUUAGGGUUCACGCCCAGAAGAGCCGCAGUGAAUAGGCCCAAGCGACUGUUUAUCAAAAACACAGGUCUCUGCUAAACCGUAAGGUGAUGUAUAGGGGCUGACGCCUGCCCGGUGCUGGAAGGUUAAGAGGAGUGGUUAGCUUCUGCGAAGCUACGAAUCAAAGCCCCAGUAAACGGCGGCCGUAACUAUAACGGUCCUAAGGUAGCGAAAUUCCUUGUCGGGUAAGUUCCGACCCGCACGAAAGGCGUAACGAUUUGGGCACUGUCUCAACGAGAGA